Molecule: long non-coding RNA, 1681 nt
Filed under: Lathyrus oleraceus (garden pea)
Lineage: Eukaryota; Viridiplantae; Streptophyta; Magnoliopsida; Fabales; Fabaceae
Description: Pisum sativum (pea) long non-coding RNA (PSAT_LNC022318)
Source: RNAcentral
AACUAGAACAUCAACGCUAAUUAAAUUCUAAACAAGAUUAAUUCUAAUUAACAUCCUAAUAUUAAUCUAAUUCAAUGUCCUAAUUAAACUACUGAUCCUAAGUCCAGCAUGGGCCUUCGCUAGAGAAUAUGGCAAAGCCCAGACGCAGGGAGGUGCACGAACUGGUCAUGGGAGUGUAUGGUAUAUGGAUUGGGCCUAACGUGAGGCCUUAAGGCUCAAAGGUAUGAAAGAGUGCAGAAGCUCAUCAUCUCCUUCCUCUCUCUCACAGUGACUUCGCAGCGACGGUGCCUCAAGGAAAGAGGACGGUUGCGUCGGACCUGGCCUCGCCGGAUCUACACGUAUCGAUGCAAGCACCUUACUAAAACUCGAUACAAAUCGAGUCGGUAACGGAACCGCAUUGCGCGGUGAACACUCACAGACUCGAAUCGGGGUCCGAUUCAAACUACAACAGACGACUCGAUCGGUGCGAAGCAAAAAAAAGGAUCCUACCGGCGUCGGCGCGAGUUGAGGAUUCGUCGGAGAAGACGAUCGUCGUGGCAGCGACGUUAACGAAUGUAGUUCUCAUUCGUUUGUCCUCUUCUCAUCUGCGACGGAAUUCGAUUGCACACGACUUCUUGAUUUCUUUCGUAAUUUGCUCAGUCUUAUUCGAUUUGUGGAAUUGGUGUGGUUCAACCAGGGAUUGAAGAUGAUGAAUGACACCUUGAUGAGAACCGAGAUCGCUCCGAGAUAUUGAUUCCGGGAGAGUGUGAUUUUGGGAAGAGAAAAAUGGGAAGUUCAAGGAGAGGGUUCCAGAAGAAGAUUUCGAGAAGAAGAGAAAAGAAGAUUUCGGGAAGAGAUUGGAGAGAGCCAAAAAUCGCCGUGAAUCAAAGUAUUUAUAUCAUUUGCAAAUGGAUUCAGGUGAGUUUUCAAUUGCGUUUUGAUUUUCUCCGCGUCGUUUACAUCUUUCUUCUGUUGCCGUUUUGCUUGUUUUCCUGCUGCAACUUUGGUGCGUUUGGACGUCGUUUAUGCUUUAAGCUACGCUUGAAUUGGUGUUGCAUCAGCUUGUGCGUUUUUGAAAUGCAGCUUCUCUUUUGCGUUUGCAGCUAGCUACCGUUCAUUUCCAAUUUCGAUUUGCUUUGGCUCUCAUUGCGUAGCCGGAAUGCAACAGACGUUCAUGCCGCCAUUAGGACGUUGCUUUGUGUACGUCGUCGUUUGGAAGCUCCGUGUCGGCUUAGCUUGGAACGUAGCCUUUACAGCUUUUGCUUUUCCAAAUUGCUCUUUUGUCUUAUCUAAUUAAAUUAAUUGUUGGAUAAAUGGAUAUUGGAGAAAUUGAAUUAACUGAAUUGAUAAAUGGGUUUCAAGUGGCCUAAUGGACUUUGACCAAGAUGUAAAAAUCAAAAUGGAUUAAUAAUGGAUCAAAUAUGGAUUGUGGUUUUAGUUUAGUGAAUGGAUUAGUAAAUGGUUUUUGUAAAUGAAAGAUGGGUAAUUGGUUGGUUUUGGUUAAUUGGAUAUGAAAUUGGAUUAAAAAUGAUUUUAAGGGAUUUGGAUAUUAAACAAAAUGGGUAAGGGUUUUGGACAUGGAUAAUGGACUUUGGAUAUGUGGUAUGGAUACGGGCUCAACCCAAAGAAAAAUGGGCCUCCCUAAAUUAACAAUAAUGGUUCAUCCCCAAAAAUGAAUAAAAAGGCAAUUCUAAAGGUUAAA